GAAUCUAAAUCAGAGAAAGAGACUCCUCAGCCUGCAGGGAGAACUGCCAGCAUGACGCUUGCUACCUUGCUAUGGGCAGUCAUGGUCUCUACCUGUCUUGGAUCCAGCCUGGCCCAGAAGGUCACUCAGCCUCAACAAGAAACGUCUGUGCAGGAGGCAGAGCCUGUGACCCUGGCCUGCACAUAUGAUACAAGUGAAAGUAAUUAUUAUUUGUUCUGGUACAAACAGCCUCCCAGCGGGGAGAUGGUUUUCAUUAUCCGCCAAGAAUCUUUGAAGCAACAGAAUGCAACAGAUAAUCACUUCUCCGUGAACUUCCAGAAAGCAACCAAAAACUUCAGCCUCAGGAUCUCAGACUGCCAGCUGGAGGAUGCUGCAGUGUACUUCUGUGCUCUCAGUGAGGCACAGUGAGAUGAGUGACAGGGAGAGGCUUACAGAAACCUCUGGCCUCAGUGCCUGUGUCAAGGGGUGCUUAAUAGGAACAUAGAAAUUAUUGUCUUUUCUUGGGAAUUAAAAUUCCUUAUAUCUGAAUAUCAGAAACACAGAAAGAUGGAUGUCUGCAAGCUAGAGUCCUUAAAAUUACAAUAAAAAUAAUGGCAUAUGUAGUGCCUUCCAAUUUUACCAAGAGUCCUCAUACAUAUUAUCACAUGUAACCCUCAUAGCUCUGUGUGAUAUAUGUGACAGAUCAGACUUCCUAAGCAUUUCCUUCAUCCAGAAAAAUUUUAUAAUUUGCCUGGGAGUACAUACCU
This is a non-coding RNA of Pipistrellus kuhlii (Kuhl's pipistrelle), 746 nucleotides long. NCBI's taxonomy places the organism in Eukaryota, Metazoa, Chordata, Mammalia, Chiroptera, Vespertilionidae. The record is from the annotation of a RefSeq genome assembly.